GGUUAGGUAACAUAAUGGAAAUGCAUUGGAUUGCAAAUCCUAGAAUGACGGUUCUACCGCAUCCUUGACCU
RNAcentral lists this transfer RNA (71 nucleotides) under Capsicum annuum. It matches the Rfam family "tRNA". From Rfam's summary of the family: Transfer RNA (tRNA) molecules are approximately 80 nucleotides in length. Their secondary structure includes four short double-helical elements and three loops (D, anti-codon, and T loops). Further hydrogen bonds mediate the characteristic L-shaped molecular structure. tRNAs have two regions of fundamental functional importance: the anti-codon, which is responsible for specific mRNA codon recognition, and the 3' end, to which the tRNAs corresponding amino acid is attached (by aminoacyl-tRNA synthetases). tRNAs cope with the degeneracy of the genetic code in two manners: having more than one tRNA (with a specific anti-codon) for a particular amino acid; and 'wobble' base-pairing, i.e. permitting non-standard base-pairing at the 3rd anti-codon position. Lineage: Eukaryota; Viridiplantae; Streptophyta; Magnoliopsida; Solanales; Solanaceae. The record is from Rfam by way of RNAcentral.